GGCAGGGGCGCCCGGGGGCAGGGGAUCGAGGGGCUGCCCAGGACCCGGGGUGCAUGGGGCCAAGGUUCUGCAUGGGGCUGCCUGGGGUUUGGGAGGCUGCAGAGGCUGCGGGGGGGCUAUAGGGAGCUGCACAUGCUUCGGGGCCUUCAUGGGACAAGGGGGCUGUAAGGGACCAAAGGAGUGCACAGUGUUUGGGGGCUGCAGAGGGCUGGGGUUUGAAAAGGGUUUGGGAGUUGCAAGGGGCUGGAGGGCUGGGGCUGGAGGGGGCUAGGGGGCUGCAAGGGGAUUGGGAGUAUUUGCAAGAGGCUGGGGGCAGGGUUUGCAAAGGGUCGGGGGCUGUUUGUAAGGUGUUGGGGGACUGCAAGGGGCUGGGAGGUGUUUGCAAGGGGUUAGGGACAGGGUUUGUUGGGGGUGUGGGUAUUUGCAAGGGGCUGGGUUGGGGCUUGCAAAGGCAGGAGGGGCGUGGGGUGUCUGCAAGGGGCUGGAGGGCUGCAAGGGGGUGGGAGUUGCUUUGCUUCCUUCCUUCCUCCCCUGUUCUGCCGGGGGCAAGGGUCGGGACUGCAGUAGGAGCAGCCACACGUGGGGUCACAACAUCUGCACAGGGCAGGCUCCGCGGGUGCAGCCUCCCUCGGUGUCCUGAGACCCUCAUGCCAGGCCAGGCCAGGCUCCCAGGGUCGCCCUGCACGCCAGCCCCUUCUGCUUCGCCUCGGCUGGGCUCCCCAGGGCACCGCGGGAAUGCCAACGGAGAGCACCGCCAGGGCCCUUUUUCGACAGAAGUGCAUGGAAGCGGGCUGCACCCUGGCGCGGAGGCUGGGCGACAGCAGCACCCCUGCCAGGCAGCGUCUGCCCGCACUGCACGGCACUGCACAGCUGCCGCAUGGCCACUGCACAGCCAUCGCAUGGCCACUAAACAGCCACUGCGUAGCCCUUGCAUGGACCCUGCACGGCCGUUGCGAAGCCGCUGCCCCCCCACCCCGCACGCCCCCCCUGUGUAGGGCCGCCCCCCAGCCGUUGCACACCUACAACACAACACUGCACAACUGAUGUGUGACCACGGCGCCGUUGCAGCGUAGGCACUGCACAGCCAUUGCACAGCCACUACACAACCUCUGCAUGGCCGCGAAAUGACCGUCGCGUGGCCACAGCUCCUGCCCACAUCACUGCACUGACCAGGUCACGACGGGACAGAGUUGCAGCGUCCCGACCCAAACCCACCCCACUCUCCACCCGCCUGACUGCCAGCUCCGGUUUUGCACUCCUCUUUCUUCCCGUGCUCCAGGAGCUGACGUGUUCCUGCGCUGCCCCUUUUACGAUGGCUUGUCACUGGUGGCAGGGGGCUCAGAGCGCUUCCUUGCUUUGUGCAAGCAGGUCCCUGGCCUCCGCAGGGAUGCCGGGAGGUGGCUGCCCGUGGGACCUUCAUUGUGGCGCAGCUGAAUAGCGGGUCUGGCACGGCCUCGCUGGGUGGAGGAGGCUUGCCAGAGCCCUGACCAGGCUGUGAGCAGUGCCAGCCAGGAGGGGCCACAUCCUGCGGGUCCCAGGCUGCUGGCUCCUGAUCCCUGAGCUCUGCCUGCCGACGGCCGGGCACUGCCCUGGCUGAGCUCAGGAUGGAGAGGUGCCAAGUGCCUGUUGCUUGACCGUAGCUGGGAGAAAUUUGCUGGGGAGGGUGUUACGGUCUCAUCAACACCAGUUGGUAGGGUGCAUGCACGCUGCACAGCACCCCCGC
Molecule: long non-coding RNA, 1723 nt
Organism: Struthio camelus australis
Lineage: Eukaryota; Metazoa; Chordata; Aves; Struthioniformes; Struthionidae
Source: Ensembl